Molecule: small nuclear RNA, 107 nt
Organism: Lutra lutra (Eurasian river otter)
Lineage: Eukaryota; Metazoa; Chordata; Mammalia; Carnivora; Mustelidae
Source: RefSeq, a predicted model, not a curated record
GUGCUUUCUUCAGCAGCACAUAUACCAAAAUUGGAACAAUAAAGAGAAGAUCAGCACAGCCCCUGCACAAAGAUGACACGCAAACUCAUGAAGUGUAUCAUAUUUUU